Molecule: signal recognition particle RNA, 91 nt
Filed under: Rickettsiales bacterium
Lineage: Bacteria; Pseudomonadati; Pseudomonadota; Alphaproteobacteria; Rickettsiales
Description: signal recognition particle sRNA small type
Rfam family: Bacterial small signal recognition particle RNA
About the family: The signal recognition particle (SRP) is a universally conserved ribonucleoprotein involved in the co-translational targeting of proteins to membranes. Archaeal SRP consists of a 7S RNA and homologues of the eukaryotic SRP19 and SRP54 proteins.
Source: RNAcentral
UAUGCAAAGAUGGACGAUUGCUCUACUAAUCUGGUCAGAUUAGAAAUAAAGCAGCCAAAUGUAGAAUCAGUCGGGUCAUCUUUGCGCUUAU